AAUCAACGCUGGCGGCGUGCCUCAAACAUGCAAGUCGAACGCGAAAGCUCCCUUCGGGGUGCAAGUAGAGUGGCGCACGGGUGAGUAACACGUAGGUAAUCUACCUUUGGAUUGGGAAUAACAACCGGAAACGGUUGCUAAUACCGAAUAAUGCAGCGGCACCUAAUGGUGACAGUUGUUAAAGCGGGGGAUCGCAAGACCUCGCGUCUGAAGAGGAGCCUGUGGCAGAUUAGCUAGUUGGUAAGGUAACGGCUUACCAAGGCGAUGAUCUGUAGCCGGCCUGAGAGGGCGGUCGGCCACACUGACACUGACAUACGGGUCAGACUCCUACGGGAGGCAGCAGUCGGGAAUUUUGGGCAAUGGGCGAAAGCCUGACCCAGCAACGCCGCGUGAAGGAUGAAAUCCCUCGGGAUGUAAACUUCGCAAGAACGGGAAGAAUAAGUGAGAGUUAAUAUCUUUCACGAUGACGGUACUGUUUGUAAGCUCCGGCUAACUCCAUGCCAGCAGCCGCGGUAAUACGGGGGGAGCAAGCGUUGUUCGGAUUUACUGGGCGUAAAGGGCGCGUAUGCGGCCACCGCAAGUCGACUGUGAAAUCUCCGGGCUUAACCGG
Molecule: ribosomal RNA, 610 nt
Filed under: uncultured soil bacterium
Lineage: Bacteria
Description: bacterial SSU rRNA
Rfam family: Bacterial small subunit ribosomal RNA
Source: RNAcentral